RNAcentral lists this ribosomal RNA (234 nucleotides) under uncultured bacterium. Its description in RNAcentral is "partial 16S ribosomal RNA". It matches the Rfam family "Bacterial small subunit ribosomal RNA", at positions 15 to 240 of the family's 1533-position model. The record is from RNAcentral.
GAUCAUGGCUCAGGAUGAACGCUAGCGGCAGGCUUAACACAUGCAAGUCGAGGGGCAGCAUAAUGGAUAGCAAUAUCUAUGGUGGCGACCGGCGCACGGGUGCGUAACGCGUAUGCAACCUACCUUUAAACAGGGGGAGUAACACUGAGAAAUUGGUACUAAUACCCCAUAAUAUCAUAGAAGGCAUCUUUUAUGGUUGAAAAUUCCGAUGGUUAGAGAUGGGCAUGCGUUGUA